Molecule: long non-coding RNA, 459 nt
Organism: Venturia canescens
Lineage: Eukaryota; Metazoa; Arthropoda; Insecta; Hymenoptera; Ichneumonidae
Exons: 2
Source: RefSeq, a predicted model, not a curated record
UUCCAGAGUUCCCAUCAUUCUUAAAAUCCAGAAUUCCAUCUUGAACUUUACGUAUCCAUGAAAGAGGAUAUUUGAAACCAGUGAAAUUGCAUUGAGCAGAGUAAACGAAUAUGACCAAAUCUCGCAUUCCCAAAACGGAUGUAUGAUUGUCCACCAGAUGAAUGAAGCUCCCGGUCUCUUGACCACGAGUAGCGACGUCUCUGAAUCGAAAUGUGUCUGCGACGAUUUUCAACGCCGCAGUUGCACCCGAUGUAAAAACAAGCUCAUAUUCGUCCGGCGAUGCAUGAAAAUGAUCCAAUAACCUGUGCAACAAAAUUUCAAUUAAUUCUCCUAAGAACGAGAGUUUUGGUGUAUCCAUUUACAAAGAGAUUGCAACAUCGUUUCGGUUCAUCAAUGUUGCAAAUAUUUACGUUAUCUUUUUUGUCAAAAAAAAUUAAAAUUCAUGAAAAUAUCGUGGAA